CGUUCAUGUUUAGCGCAGCACUAUGCUGGGCAUUUGUCUCCCACAUUGGUGACACCCAUCAAGUUUUCUGUAUCAACUGGUUAUUUUUUUUAAUUUAUUUUUUUUCUUUUGGUUGGUUAGGGUGUUUGUGGAGAAUCCGGAGCCCAGGAGCUGCUUUGUUUAAAAUGUUCUUGUUUUGAACAGGAAUAAAAUUAUCCUGAAUCCUGAUUCCGGUGUGAUUGACUUCCUGUUGCCAACCGCUACAUCUGGUGCCGUGACCCGGAUGCCUAGAUCAGCCGCUGCCGAUCACCGAGGUUCUGCUGUGUGCUUGGAACAUUGAAUGCUCAAGUUGGUGGAUUAGUGGGUUCUGUCAGGCUCCAUUUUGGUUGCUAUUCUGCAACUGUAUAUAACUGUUUCUAAGCAAAAAA
This is a long non-coding RNA of Poecilia latipinna (sailfin molly), 407 nucleotides long. RefSeq lists it as uncharacterized. The transcript is spliced from 2 exons. Lineage: Eukaryota; Metazoa; Chordata; Actinopteri; Cyprinodontiformes; Poeciliidae. The record is from RefSeq and is a predicted model, not a curated record.